GACAGAGGGUGCAAGCAUUGUUCGGAAUCAUUGGGCGUAAAGGGCGCGUAGGCGGUUUUGUAAGUCGAAUGUGAAAGCCCAGGGCUCAACCUUGGAAGUGCAUCCGAAACUGCGAGACUUGAAUCCUGGAGAGGGUGGUGGAAUUCCCAGUGUAGAGGUGAAAUUCGUAGAUAUUGGGAGGAACACCGGUGGCGAAGGCGACCACCUGGACAGAGAUUGACGCUGAGGCGCGAGAGCGUGGGGAGCAAACAGG
This 253-nucleotide ribosomal RNA is filed under the name uncultured bacterium. RNAcentral describes it as "partial 16S ribosomal RNA". It matches the Rfam family "Bacterial small subunit ribosomal RNA", at positions 524 to 776 of the family's 1533-position model. The record is from RNAcentral.